Molecule: long non-coding RNA, 214 nt
Filed under: Elaeis guineensis (African oil palm)
Lineage: Eukaryota; Viridiplantae; Streptophyta; Magnoliopsida; Arecales; Arecaceae
Description: long non-coding RNA (EGUI_LNC064049)
Source: RNAcentral
GCAUGUUAAUUUUAGACUCCUUUACUUGAUUUGUGCCCUCAUGAGUAACUUCUAACCUAUCCCAAAUUUCUUUGGCUGAAUUAUAAGUGAAAAUAUGGUUAAAUUUAUUUGUAUCUAAGAUACAGUAUAAGAUAUUCAUGAUUUUAGCAUUGAGUUGAGCCAUUUUCUUAUCAAAUUCAUCCCAUUCACCUUCCGACUUAGGGAGGGACACACC